GCCAAACCUGCAGCAUAUGGAGGUUCCCACUAGAGGUUGAAUCAGAGCCCUAGCCACCAUUCUACACCACAGCAACGUCUCAGAGCUGAGUUGCAUAUGUGACCUAUGCUACAGCUCACCGCAACGCUAGAUCCUUCAACCAUUACAGUUUAAUCCACUGAGCAAGGCCAGGGAUCAAACUUGCAUCAUCACAGAGACUAGUCGGGUUCUUAACCCGCUGAGCCACAACAGGAACUCCUAAAAAUAACUUUAAAAACAAAACCUUCCAACCCUACAGAGGCAGCCCUUUAUGAGUUCCCGUCGUGGCGCAGUGGUUAACGAAUCCAACUAGGAACCAUGAGGUUUUAGGUUCGCUCCCUGGCCUUGCUCAGUGGGUUAAGGAUCCGGCAUUGCCGUGAGCCGUGGUGUAGGUUGCAGACGCAGCUCAGAUCCCGCGUUGCUGUGGCUCUGGCAUAGGCCGGUGUCUACAGCUCUGCUUAGACCCCUAGCCUGGGAACCUCCAUAUGCCACGUGAGCGGCUCAAGAAAAGGCAAAAAGACAAAAACAAAAAACAAAAAGAGGCUUCAAUCUGUGUGGAAGGGGGAAAAUAUUAAUUUCUACUUGCAUAUUGAUGCUUCAAUCAAAAUCUCCAUAGCAUUCACAAGCAACUAACCACAGUAGUCUCUUAUUUUGUGUGAUGCGGCAGGACUAUGUAGCAAAUAGUGGGCUCCUAGAAAUGGAGCCCCUGGGCCAAUGGAUAAAUGCACAUGUAAUUUUGUUAGGUAUUACUGGAUUCCCCUAUGUAAGGACUGUAAUCACUCUGCACUACCACCAGUUAGGCAUGAGAAUGUCUGUUCUCCACAGCAUCUCCAACAGUAAAAUUUUUAGAUUUUUUUGUUAAGCUGGUAAGACAUAAUACCACAGUGUGGUUUUUAAAUUCAGGUUUGUUGAGGUAUAAUUUACAUAAAAUAAUAUUCACUUGUUUGACUUACAGUCUGCUGAGUUUUGACAAACAUAUAUUCAUGUAACACCACCACAACCAAAGUAUAGGACAUUUUCAUUAUCCCAAAUGGUACUCUCAUUCCAAUCCUACCACCCCUACUCCCUGACUCACUUCUGUCCCUACACUUUUGCCUUUUUCAGAUCUCAUAAACAGAAUCACAGUAUAAAGCUUUUUGUCUGACAUCUUUCACAUAGCAUGAUUUGGGUAUCAACAGUUUCUCUUUAAUUGCUGAGCAGUACUUCAUUGUAUCACAUCACCCACUGCGUGGUUUUAAUUUGAACCACUGAUUCAAAUUCACUGGUUUUGAGUGGGGCUGAGCAUCUUUAAAUAUACUUAAAAGCCAUUUGACAUUAUUUCUGUGAACUGGAUGUUUCAGUUCCUUCCUAAUCUUUUACUGGGUUUCUGAUCUCUUGUAUUUUUUGAGAGAUCUUUGUUUAUCAAUGAGGUUAGCCCCUUGUGACAGAGUUUACAAAUACUAUUUCCAGUUUGCUAUUGACUUUAUAGUAUUUUUGGUAUGCAAAUGCCCUUUAAUUUUUUAUGCAGUCGCACUUAUUGAUCUUUAAUAGAGUGAGCCAGAGUUUGAAAGCCUUUUGACACUACCAAGUUAUAAAGGAAUGCAUCCAAUUUUUUCUAGCUCUUGAAUGGUUUAAUUUCUUACAUUACAGUUGACCCUUGAAUGGGGGGCGGGGAAGAGUCAGGGGAAGGUUUAAGGGUGCUGACCUUCCCUGUGUAGAAAAUCCACAUGUAACUAUAGUCAGCCCUCCCCAUUGGUAGUUCCCCAUUAUGAAUUCAACAAACUGCAGUUCAAAUGUCAACUGUAUAUCUCUGAUCAACGUGAAUGUAUUUUGGUGUACAGUGUGGGGUUUAGAUCCAAUAUUAUUUUUUUCCAAAGUUCCAUCCAAUGAUCUCAAUACUACUUAUUUAAAAAGUCCAUCUUUACCCCAGUAAUUUGAGAUGGUACUAUCCAUAAAAACAAAUCUCCAUUAAGUAUAUAAGGCUAUUUUCAGAGUUUCUACUCUGUUCUGGUGAUUUGUAUAUAUGGUGUUGCCACACCACUAUUUACUAAUUGUAGAGAUGUUAUAGUAUAUUUCGAUAUUUGAUGGGGCUAGCCACAUUCAGCUCACUGGUCUUCUUCUUCAGGGAUUUCCUGAUAAUGCCUGCUUGUUUAUUUUUCCAUAUAAAUUUUAUAAUUAAUCUGUCUCCUAGACAAAAAAACCCAUUUGGUAUUUUUAUCAGCAUUUGGUUUAUUUUUGAACAUGGGGAAAAAAACUGACAUCUUUGUGACACCGAAAUAUUCUUUUCAAGAAUACAGAGUAUCUUUCAAUUUGUUCAAGUUUACAUUUGCGUAUUCUAGGAAUUUAGGACAUAUAACUUUUAAACUUCUGCAUUAACUUAUUCCUAGGUAUUUCUUUUCAUUGCUAUUGAAAAUGACCAUCUUCUAGGUGGCCACUAUUUGUACAUAUGUUAAGGUUAGAUUUUUAGGUAUUAAUUUGAAGAAAACACUUUCAACUGCACAACUUACAGUAAUUUAACUUCAAACUAGAUAAAAAAUUAUUAGAUUCACAAGCAUGUUAUAUCUGAGUUCAAAGUAGGUUUAGAGUUUUGGUCUUGUUUUCUGUGGCAAGUAUUUAUAUCAUAAAAUUCAUCCACACUAACUGCAUUUUCUAUUAAUAAUCCUAGGAAGGAUAAAAUAAACCUAAGGGAUAAAACUAGACAUCUUCAAGAUGGUCUUCUUGACAUUAAAAUGAACACAAAUAGAAGAGAAUGCUCAUAUCAGGGUCUGUAUGGAGAGAACUUUAGAAGUGAGCAUGAUAGUACCGUCACUUUUUAAAAACAUGAAACAGAUGGAUUUAAACUGAGUGGAGAGAAAGAAGUACUCACUGUUUCUCCUAUAUGACAGAGAUACUAAUAAAGACAUUUGAACAUUAAGAAAGAUCUACCUUAAGCUGAUAUAGGAUGCUUAAAUAUUAUAAUAUUUGAUCUAAAAACAUUUUCAUCUAUUAUACUAUGCUCUACUACCGACCAGUCACAGAAGUGAAGACUCAGAAUUUCACUGGAAAAAAAUCGUAACACGAAGCAAUAAACACACAACAUAUAAGAAGUUCACUGUUCGUACACACUGCUCAACAAUUUUACUACAUACCCAUUUUUAUAAGGUGGAACAUGUUUCCAUGACUGUAUUAUUUUCAACAAUGAAAUAGUAUAUAGGUUUUUUUCCUUUCUUUUCUUCUUCCCUCACCUUGUUUUGUUUUUAACUUUAUAGGUGUGCCAUCAAGGUAUUCUAGCAUUUCAGUACAGGCUCAAUGAUUAUUUGUUGACUGCUUCCUAACCACUUUAAUGACCAAUCUUAAAAUCUGACACUGUUUGAAAACAGUAUGUACUUUGGAAUCUUUCCCCGCCACCACUUAACCUUAUAAGAAGUGAGUUGCAAGAAAAAUCAGAGAAACCAGAAAACUUUAUUUAUUAUGAAUGACAAGGAAAGGAGAACUAAAAAGUCACUGUACUACUUGGGUUUAACCAAAUAUCCCCUUUAGCGCCAAGUCUUACCUCUAAUAAUAUCUGAGGAGAUUCUAUAUGAGUGAAAACAGAAAAUGCAAUUACAUUUUAUUGCAAGAAAUUUGGAAAACGUAUUUUUAACAAAGUUAGCUAUUCAAAAGUGUUACCUUAGGCUGUCUCUUAAUAGCUCCUUUUCACGAGUGUGAAAUUUAAUGAAGGCAACAGCAUUUAUAAGCAAGACCAAAUGGUAUCUUAAUUACUAGCUGUGUUUUCUUAGGCAACCAGAGAUUAAAUGAAAAGAGAAAUUAGUUUUACAAAUGGCAUCAUACAUCUUUAUGUACACCCCCCUCCAUCAAGUCACAGAUGGUUAUGUGUUUUGAACUUCCUAAUAUUGUAAGCAAUUUUCUUUUCCUUGGGCACACCCCAAUCCAUCACAACUCUUAAAUUAUAUAUUAAAUCACUUACAAGGACUGACGCUGUUAAUCAGUGAUUUAACAUUUACUGGCCACAUGAAAAGGGCUUUUCCCUUACUGGGCUCUAUACAAAUAUAAAGUUUAAAAUUUUUGAAACUACUGGCCCUAGAGGUUGGGAGUGUACUCUUUACAUACAGUUUGGAGGAAUACUUUGACUUGAUCUAAUGACUUAACUAACUCUAAUAAAGAGUUCCUGGUUCAGUUACUACUGCCAAAUCUAACAGCCAAACCCUGGGGUAAGGUCAUGACCAAUGUUACUUCUACCUGUCAUGUAACUCAUGUCUUAAACUAGGGACUCCUGAGGGCUCAUUCGGGACUGCUCUCUUCAGUCCCAAAGAUAAGUGUCUCUAAAACUUAGGUAUUAAAAAUAGCCCAGAAGAGUUCCCUGGUGGCCUAGCAGUUAAAGGACCCAGGAUUUUCACUGCUAUGAUGAGUUCAAUCCCUGGCCUGGGAAGUUUCACAUACUGAUACUGUGGGCACAGCCAAAAAAAAAAAAAAAAAAA
Molecule: long non-coding RNA, 4454 nt
Filed under: Sus scrofa (pig)
Lineage: Eukaryota; Metazoa; Chordata; Mammalia; Artiodactyla; Suidae
Description: lncRNA (ENSSSCG00045015329.1, ENSSSCG00085025089.1, ENSSSCG00105038680.1)
Source: RNAcentral